CCUACGGGGGGCUGCAGUGGGGAAUAUUGGACAAUGGGGGGAACCCUGAUCCAGCCAUGCCGCGUGUGUGAAGAAGGCCCUCGGGUUGUAAAGCACUUUCAGUGAGGAAGAACGCCUGGUGGUUAAUACCCAUCAGGAAAGACAUCACUCACAGAAGAAGCACCGGCUAACUCCGUGCCAGCAGCCGCGGUAAUACGGAGGGUGCGAGCGUUAAUCGGAAUUACUGGGCGUAAAGCGCGCGUAGGUGGCUUGAUCAGCCGGUUGUGAAAGCCCCGGGCUCAACCUGGGAACGGCAUCCGGAACUGCCAAGCUAGAGUGCAGGAGAGGAAGGUAGAAUUCCCGGUGUAGCGGUGAAAUGCGUAGAGAUCGGGAGGAAUACCAGUGGCGAAGGCGGCCUUCUGGACUGACACUGACACUGAGGUGCGAAAGCGUGGGUAGCAAACAGGAUUAGAUACCCCAGUAGUC
RNAcentral lists this ribosomal RNA (465 nucleotides) under Vreelandella stevensii. RNAcentral describes it as "partial 16S ribosomal RNA". It matches the Rfam family "Bacterial small subunit ribosomal RNA", at positions 338 to 795 of the family's 1533-position model. Lineage: Bacteria; Pseudomonadati; Pseudomonadota; Gammaproteobacteria; Oceanospirillales; Halomonadaceae. The record is from RNAcentral.